Molecule: ribosomal RNA, 254 nt
Filed under: uncultured bacterium
Lineage: Bacteria
Description: partial 16S ribosomal RNA
Rfam family: Bacterial small subunit ribosomal RNA
Source: RNAcentral
UACGAAGGGUGCAAACGUUGCUCGGAAUUAUUGGGCGUAAAGCGCACGUAGGCGGCUUAGCAAGUCGGAUGUGAAAUCCCUCGGCUCAACCAAGGAAGUGCAUCCGAAACUGCUGAGCUUGAGUACGAAAGAGGAUCGCGGAAUUCCCGGUGUAGAGGUGAAAUUCGUAGAUAUCGGGAGGAACACCAGUGGCGAAGGCGGCGAUCUGGGGAAGAUACUGACGCUGAGGUGCGAAAGCGUGGGGAGCAAACAGG